This 421-nucleotide ribosomal RNA is filed under the name uncultured Methanoregula sp. Its description in RNAcentral is "bacterial SSU rRNA". It matches the Rfam family "Archaeal small subunit ribosomal RNA", at positions 322 to 747 of the family's 1478-position model. Lineage: Archaea; Methanobacteriati; Methanobacteriota; Methanomicrobia; Methanomicrobiales; Methanoregulaceae. The record is from RNAcentral.
CCUACGGGGGGCAGCAGGCGCGAAAACUUUGCAAUGCGGGAAACCGUGACAGGGGAACUCCGAGUGCCCGUAAAAUCGGGCUGUCCACCAGUUUAAAUAACUGGUGAAGAAAGGGCCGGGCAAGACCGGUGCCAGCCGCCGCGGUAAUACCGGCGGCUCGAGUGGUGGCCACUAUUACUGGGCUUAAAGCGUUCGUAGCUGGUUUGUUAAGUCUCUGGGGAAAUCUUCCGGCUUAACCGGAAGGCGUCUCAGGGAUACUGGCAGACUAGGGACCGGGAGAGGUGAGGGGUACUCCAGGGGUAGGAGUGAAAUCCUGUAAUCCUUGGGGGACCACCUGUGGCGAAGGCGCCUCACCAGAACGGCUCCGACAGUGAGGGACGAAAGCUGGGGGAGCAAACCGGAUUAGAUACCCGCGUAGUCC